RNAcentral lists this ribosomal RNA (253 nucleotides) under uncultured bacterium. RNAcentral describes it as "partial 16S ribosomal RNA". It matches the Rfam family "Bacterial small subunit ribosomal RNA", at positions 524 to 776 of the family's 1533-position model. The record is from RNAcentral.
UACGUAGGGGGCAAGCGUUGUCCGGAUUUACUGGGCGUAAAGAGCGCGUAGGCGGAAAUUUAAGCGUGGCCUGAAAGCCCCCGGCUCAACCGGGGAGUGCGGCUGCGAACUGGGUUUCUUGAGGACGAUAGAGGAGAGUGGAAUUCCUGGUGUAGCGGUGAAAUGCGUAGAUAUCUGGAGGAACACCGGUGGCGAAGGCGGCAUUCUGGACCGACAUUGACGCUGAGGAGCGAAAGCCAGGGGAGCAAACGGG